UGGCGCACGGGUGAGUAACACGUGACUAAUCUACCCUCGAGUGGGGAAUAACUGAGAGAAAUCUUAGCUAAUACCGCAUAACACUUACGAGUCAAAGCAGCAAUGCGCUUGGGGAGGAGGUCGCGGCCGAUUAGUUAGUUGGCGGGGUAAUGGCCCACCAAGACGAUGAUCGGUAUCCGGCCUGAGAGGGCGCACGGACACACUGGAACUGAAACACGGUCCAG
Molecule: ribosomal RNA, 224 nt
Filed under: uncultured bacterium
Lineage: Bacteria
Description: partial 16S ribosomal RNA
Rfam family: Bacterial small subunit ribosomal RNA
Source: RNAcentral